UGGAAAAUAAUUCAACAGAUCUUAUGGAUCUGCAUAAUAAUCUCAAGCAUCAGAUUUAUGUCCAUCGCGUGCAGAGAGGGCAGAGAUAUGACUUAUCAACAUAGUAAUUAUUUCUGCACUGGCAUGAAUUCUGUUUUUCUUGCGUUUCUUCUCUCGUUAUUUCUGUCUAGCUUUUGUUUAAAGGAACUUGCGUGACAUUGAGCAGAGAGAGGAGGAGGAAGAAAAAUCCCCUUUUGGCAAGAUGCUGCUACAUGCUGAAUUUUCCCUGCUGCUAGUAAUAUCUGAAGUUCUUCCUGCCCUCAUAGUAUUGUUUCAGGGAAGAAUUUGUAUAAUUUCCUCUGGACUUCUGGUUGUCAUCAUUAAUAUAUCAUUCUUUUAUGGUGGUUUAUGGUACUGUCAUGCGCUGGGAUUAUGAGUGUGGUACCACACCAACAGCCUGUAAGAACAAUGCUAGGUGAAACUGUUGAAAACAUGCAGCCUGUCUCUACUGUGGAGUCGCCGGCU
Carassius auratus (goldfish) is the source of this 504-nucleotide long non-coding RNA. RefSeq lists it as uncharacterized. The transcript is spliced from 3 exons. The record is from RefSeq and is a predicted model, not a curated record. NCBI's taxonomy places the organism in Eukaryota, Metazoa, Chordata, Actinopteri, Cypriniformes, Cyprinidae.